RNAcentral lists this transfer RNA (75 nucleotides) under Magnetococcales bacterium. Its description in RNAcentral is "tRNA-Val". It matches the Rfam family "tRNA". Rfam says of the family: Transfer RNA (tRNA) molecules are approximately 80 nucleotides in length. Lineage: Bacteria; Pseudomonadati; Pseudomonadota; Magnetococcia; Magnetococcales. The record is from RNAcentral. RNAcentral also lists the same sequence under 4 other names.
GGGCGGUUAGCUCAGCGGGAGAGCACUACCUUGACACGGUAGGGGUCACAAGUUCGAUCCUUGUACCGCCCACCA